GCCGCGUUAGCUCAGCUGGUAGAGCACUCGCCUUGUAAGCGAGAGGUCGUCAGUUCGAACCUGACACGCGGCU
RNAcentral lists this transfer RNA (73 nucleotides) under Actinomycetota bacterium. RNAcentral describes it as "tRNA-Thr". It matches the Rfam family "tRNA". Rfam says of the family: Transfer RNA (tRNA) molecules are approximately 80 nucleotides in length. Lineage: Bacteria; Bacillati; Actinomycetota. The record is from RNAcentral.